AAUAAUAUAUCAACUAUAUAUGUUUUAUAUAAUCUUUCAUUUCUUUGAGUUUUCUAAGCAAUUAAAAUCACUUAGUCUACCAAAUUCACAAUUGUUAUCUACUCUUCUAACUAUUAUUCAUAUAUUCACUCUUAUCUUAAACCUAAUUCAUUAGUUCUCAAUGGAAGAAUUUUUAAAAAAUCAAAAUUCCAACAAAUCCUUAAAAAAACAUAACAUAUGCUACAGCUUGAUAAACCCUUUUCUCUAUCUAAUCCUAAGACAUCAAUCCAUAAACCCUAGCAUUUCCUUUGACAACAAAUUCAAAACCCUGAUCUUAAGAAAUCCUCUACAAAUCCUAGUUUUAACUUUGGCUUUGUCCAAAAAAUUAUUAUGAUUAGUAAAUAAAAAGAAUCAACCUCGAUUACAAACAUCACCUUACAAACUCGCACAAGAAAAAUGCAAUAUCUACUAUUUUCUCUUUGCAUUUGUUUAAUUUAGUCCCUGACCUAGAAUUCACCCUGCCAAUCUGGAUAGGAGACCCCGAGCUUGCGAACCAACCUUCGCUCCGGUAGCCACUCUGAUCUCUCCAAUACUCCAAAGCUUGUUGAAACCAGAGAACACGCGGCAAUCCAAUGGUUGAAUAGCAGCUCUAAACACUGCUCCGCCGAAGUUAGGUGACCCAAACUGCCCUGGCACUGGACCACUCGUUACUUAAAUACAAACAAUACAAGAACCACAGCUACCACUCCGGACUGGAUCUCAAAAGACUUCUGAGCCACUGCUCAAUCCUCGCCCACCGCCAUCUCUGUCUUAUGAACUACCCAGCUAUGCUAAUCUUGCGCCAACCAAAAGGAAAAAUUUCAGGUCUCCACUUGGGUCUCCACUUCUUGCAAAAUAUGCUACCUCGACGCAUACUCACGAGAAAAUCUCUUUCGCAGAAAUGAGUG
RNAcentral lists this long non-coding RNA (926 nucleotides) under Physcomitrium patens. Its description in RNAcentral is "long non-coding RNA (PPAT_LNC010241)". The record is from RNAcentral. Lineage: Eukaryota; Viridiplantae; Streptophyta; Bryopsida; Funariales; Funariaceae.